ACUGCGGCGCAGGGAGAGGGGGGCCCGGCGACGAUGGCGGAAGACCGCAGCUGGAUGUACACUGGCCGCCAGAGCAGGAAGAAGUUCACCCCCGAGUGGUUGGAGAAGACGACCGAGUUCGUGGAGCGCUCCUUCCACGGCGUCCCGCCGGAACGCCAGGACGUCGGCAUGCUGUGCCCCUGCGCGCGCUGCCGCAACCGCAACAGGCGGCCAAGGACCAAGUACGCAAUGCAGCUGGAUCUGGGCAGGAACGGCUUCAUGCCAGGGUACACGGUGUGGGUGCACCACGGCGAAGGCCACAACCCCCAGCCUGCUAAGCCGUCCGACGACCACCCCGGCGAAGAGAAUCUUGACGGGAAGAAGGAUGGCGCCGGUGGUGGCGAGCAAGUGUCGAAGCCGCAGGGGACUAAGGAGUGGGAAAUGCCCUUGCUUGAGGCGUAUGCAAGAAGCAAGCUACCAAAAGAGGAUCAAAUUAAGUGGAGCUACCAAAAAUACCUGUGGGAACAAGAGAAAAUCAAGCAGCAGCAGCAGCAGAGUGCACCAAAGACAAAGAGGCUGCGCACCUCUGGUUCGCCCACUGCCAAGCCUGCUGAAGAUGAAGGGCGCAAUGUCAGCGUCCCGGAGCCUGAACUAGAAGAUACGGCAACGUCAACAGCUGAUGGCCCUGCAGCUAAUCCGGCAACGACAGCCAACGCGCGUGGAGUUCAAAUCCCAGCUUGGAGU
Molecule: ribosomal RNA, 723 nt
Filed under: Triticum aestivum (bread wheat)
Lineage: Eukaryota; Viridiplantae; Streptophyta; Magnoliopsida; Poales; Poaceae
Description: partial small subunit ribosomal RNA
Source: RNAcentral